CCUUCUUCCUGUAUGGAAGAGUUAUAUCCCUUAGAAAUGGAAUACAGCAGAGCUACUAAAGAGGAACUUGCCAAUAAUAAAUGCCAAGGUGAAGCCUAUCUGCUGAGGCCAACAUAGUGCCCCACAGGACAUGUGGGUUUUGCUUUACGAGUAGGUGAUUCAUUCUCAUUAGGAUUUAUAGGCUUAAACAUUCUUCAGAAUGAGAAAGAUUGACAAAGAUGUGGACAAAUGACCUCUUCCCCCAGACUCAUAUUUGGGAAAGUGGUUUGAGACUCCCAAUUACUCGGGAGAUAAAUGCCAUAACCACAAACGUCAUUCCUUUCGUACUCCUUUAAUUGUAUAAUAAUGCAGCUAUCAUUAUAUCAUUUAUUUGCAGAAAAAAACAUUUAGCAUAUACACUGUAAAAUGCAUUUGGGAUUGUUUGUUUUGUUUUGUUUUUCUUUGUUUUUGUUUUCCAGACAAGUCAGUUCAGGGAGAUAAGAGAAAUCUGAACUUAAUUAUUAUUUUAAAAUUUGAAUAUGAGUUAAGCACGUGCCUUUUAGCACUGUCAGGACUUACAGACAUACCUGGAAGAAGACUAUGAAUGACCAGGGACAUCUCUUGUGAAUCCUAACGGAUUAGUUAGGAUAUAAUGUAUCUGAAAGUUAUCAUUCUUUUUUAAUUAUCAUGAGAUCCCUCCUUUAGCAAAUUAUUUUACAGGUCAGAGAAACGAAGUUCACUUAUGUCAUUUCCUGUCCAGUGCUCACUUCAUCCAUGAUGUAAGUGGGCAAUGGUUGUCAGUCCUCUCUCAUAAUAGAGCUGUGUCUAACACUCCCAGUGGGUUGGAAUUAUCUUAGAGGUCUGCUCCUGUUGUCAUGCCUCAAAGUGUGUUUGGAGUCUAGCAAGCCUCUUGAUGGAGGAACACACAGAAAUUUUUAGCUCUGAAGACUUUCACCACACUACCCAUGUCCACAUUCUUUUUCUCAGAUCCUGUCUUUCUCUACUCUAGAUUGGUUGUCCUUUAAUUCUUUCCCUGCAAUACGUAUUCCACAAAUCUGAGUAAUUCUAAAUCAACUUGUUAAACAAAAUUUAAAAGUAUGUAAAAAAUCUAGGCAGGGCUGGAUGCAGCUGUGGGCAGCCUGAUCUAGUGAUCUCACCCAUAGCAAUGAGUUGGAACAAAUGUGUCUUUAAGGUCCCUUCCAACCAAGACAAAUUUGCGAUUCUGUGAUAUGCAAGUAUUGCAUACUAUGGAAGUGUUUGGCAUACUAGUUUUUGAUUGCUGACUGAUAGCUUAAUUAAGAUGCUCUUCAUGAAACUUCCCUAACACUACCUAUUUAUGUUUCUGCCAAAAAAAUGAGCUGUUUUCUUCAGCCUAUUUCAAAAGUUUUAUCGAAACUACAUAUAAUUUUUCCUUUAUCAGAUCUGUUUUUUUUCUAUAAUAACUACCAUUUUCAUUGUACUUAACAAAGUAAACAUGAAACACUGGAAUAAGCAUGAAUUUUCAAAUUUUGUUAAAUAGAUUGGUCUACUUUACUCCAUCAUUACUAGCCACAGCUGAUAACCUGGUAGACCACUUAGUAAGGUCAGGCUAUUUUCAGUGUUUUUAUAUACCAAAUGGAGGCUUCUCAUGAUUCUACGUAGCUCUUGACUCAGCAGCUCAAAGAACUAUUUCCCUGUUUCCUUUUUUGCCAUGUACAUCCAGUCCAUUUCCAUUUCAGUGAACACACUGCUGUUCUCCAAGAAUUCCUGAGUGUUAUCAGAUAGAGAGGGGUGUAACAGAAAUGCUUAACACAAUGCAUUUUCAAAUGUAAUGUUUCCAGUAGUCCACCAAAAAUAAAUUUCAAAAAUAAAUUUUUACUGUUGGUAUAUAACUGGUAAAUGGUUUGAUUUGUCCUGUUAAUGUCUUCAUGUAAUUAAACCUUUUGAUUUUGUUGACAUUAUUAAAACCUUUCAACUCAAUAGCUGAAAAAAUCAUCCUAUGAGGGCCUGUUUUCCUUCAAUAUACUUUUCUUGAACAAGAUGAAAGAAAAGGCCUUAUUCUGAUAUAUUGUAUGUUAUUCUUUAUGAUUUAGAACAGAAGAAACAGUUAAUUAGCUUUGUUUCUAGGUUCAGUGACUUGAAAACUUUGGCUUGGCGAGCUUUGAAUGUGGGAAUAAAUUUGAUAGGAAGCUUCAGUGGUAUAAAACGAAUUAUUCUGUGGCAUUUUAAGCACAAUUAAACAUUUGUGGGAGUUUGUUUGUUCUUUAUUCUCUGGCUGUAAAUUUUAGAUCCUAUUGUAUAAUGAGAAGCAUUAAUUUAAUACUCUAUGAAUCAUCUCAGUUUCUCUGUUGCACAGAAUAAUCUUUAUUUAUUUAUUUAUUGGUUUCCAAAAUGCUGCAUAGAUAAGUGAAAAGUACUAGCUUUUAUGCAUCAUUUUCAGGAGUUGAUGUGAGUCUUCCUAUUUCUUUUAUAAUGGAAUUUGAUUUUCCUUCCACCUUAACUUCAUGUUAAACUUAAAUUCUCUCCGAUACUUUGGUUGGUCCCUUCCUCCCUCUAUUUGUUACAUAGAUCAUAGAAUCACAGAAUCACAAAAUGUCUUGGGGUGGAAGGAACCUCAAAGAUCACCAUGUUACAGCCCUUGCUGUGGGCAGGGUUACAAGCCACUAAAUCAGGCAGUAGAUCAGGCUGCCCAGGGCCUCAUCCAAUCUGGUCUUGAUCAUCUCCAGUGAUGGGACAUCCACAGCUUCUCCGGGCAGCCUGUGCCAGCAUCUCACCAAAAUUCCCCCCCUAUAAUCUAAACAUCUCCCUUAAAUCUUCUGUUUUAGUUUAAAACCAUUCUUCCUUGUCCUAACACUAUCUACUCAUGUCAAAAGAUGAUUUUCCUCCUAUUUAUAAGCUCUUUUCAAGUACUGAAAUGCUGUAGUGAGGUCUUCCUGCAGCUUUCUCUUCUCCAGGAUGAAUAAGCCCACAUCCCUCAACUUUUCUUUAUGUGAGAGGUGCUCCAGCCCUCUGAAUAUCUUUGUGCCCCUACUCUGGACCCACUCCAACAGCUCUGCAUCCUUCUUGUGCUGGGGGUGCCAGUCCUGGAUACAUUAAUCCAGAUGGAGCCUCAUGAGGCCAAAGUACAAAGGGGAGACAAUCCAUUCCCCUCUCCCUGCUGGCCGUCUCACUUUUGAUGCAAUCUAGGGUGCUGUUGAAUACAUAAGAGCUAAGACAUAUGCAGUUUAUUGUUCUGAUACCAGCAAGUUCCUUGUAUUACAUUGGUCUCCCAUUAGUCUUCCAAAUUACUACUUAUUAUUACUAUUAUUUUAUUAUUGGUUUGCUGUCUAUGCAAUUCUGUACAGUUAUACUCAUUUCCCGAAGAAGUGAUUUUCAGACUGCUUUGAUUAGGUUUUUGUGACCUCUAAUCAACUCCUUGCAUUACUUUAUGCAUGCUGAUCAAGGCCAUGGGCACCACUGCUUUGAUUGAUCUGUUCAUGGGGACACGCAGAACUCAGUCCCCUUUAUUUGCUCCUGUACUGGGAAGCAUGGAGGCCAUGAGAAUGACAAAAUGGGAGUAGGUGCAUAAAGGUGUAAACCAAAGCUGCAGGGAAAAAAUAGUUCUUCCUAUUCUGAGAGCAAAAAAAAAAAAAAAAAAGAAUUGUGAAAAUCUGAAAAUUUCUGAGAUUCACUAAUCUAAGGGUUUUUAUUGGAUAUUACAAAAUAGGCACAGCAUAUACCUAAAGAAGUAAAUUGAAGGAGGGAGGGCAUGAGCAUAAGACAUUUGGCAUUCAUAAUGAAUAUGAAUUGUGCUGUAUAACUAUGACUGGUGAGCAAAUAUUUGAAGAGAGAAGUAAUAGAGGAGAAAAAGGAAAUUCUUGUCUGAAAGGCUAGAAUCUGAAUUUUUACAAAGGUAGGAAGCUCUUAGAAUUGGGAUUUUUUUAUUAAUUAGUGUCUUAAAAUGUGUUAAAUAUAUAUAAGUAAGUAUAUAAAGAUUUAUAUAUAUAUACAUUUGCCCAUUUACUUAGCAUCUGAAUAGAUUUAUUUCUUCCUCCUAAUUAGUUUGGCAAUAACUAUUUAAGUUACAUUGCACAUCUUAUUAUCUCAAAGGUCUCUUAUGUUUUCCAGAUUGUUAAACAACAGUUUUGCUUGUUUGUUGUUUAUACUCAUCUUUCAGUCUUUCAGUUAACGUAGAUUACAGUGAAAAAGCUAAAUGAGGUAGAGCUCUGUGCCAGCUUUUAAAAUAUGCAAUGGUUUGGCUUCUCUGAUUUUGCCCUUGAAUUGUAGUACCGCAGCGUUGUUUGGCCUGGUCACUGCUAUGUUCUGCAUGUCAUCAUUUUUGUAUUGGGAUAAGAGAUUUUUCUUUUAGAAUAGUAGUAUUGACAAGAUUGGCUUAAUUCAUGUUUGUAAAAUAUUUUCAGAUCAUUAGUGAAAAUGGUGUUACAUUACACAAAACUACAGAGUUAAAAAUUCAAUUCCUCCUGAAACAUGUGUGAAUAGAAGAAACAUGUUAUUUGAUAAUUGGUAAGAGAAAAACAUAUUAUUGCAUUCCAAAGCCCAAAGCAAAAGGAUGAAUGGGUCUUAUUCAUAAGAUUAUUCAUCUUACCCAUUUGAUUUAUUUUGAUUCUGUUUCAUACACAUUGUAUUUGAAAACCAGAAUAUUUCGAAACUUUUCUUGAAAAAUAUAUAGUUUUAGAAUGGAAUAUCUUUACAAAAAGAGCCGAAGUGAUUACUGAGAAAAAAAUAUACCUGUUUUCACUAAGUUUCCUUUGUAAAUUUUGGAGGAAAUUGUAAAUAUUUAAGCAUCAUUAGAGACUGUUGGGUUUUAACAUCAACUUUUAACUAAGUGUAAAUGCAAAUCAUUAAAUAACUUCAAGAUUUAGGAGAUUUAUUUUAUCUACCUUAGAAAUAAGCACUACUUUGCAUAUUUGAAUGCUAUGUAUCAUAUCGUGAAAAAUCAGAAGAAAACCUUCACUGUUGCUGUCUGUAUGAAUAUUAGCAUCCUGUCAAUCCAUGGAGUAAAAGCAUCCCCUUAUCACAUAUCUAAUUACCCCUUCACAUUUGCACUCUGCAGAAGUCUAAUACUUUCUGUUUUCAAUUGUCUGUGAAUAACUCUCACCUUGUGAUUCAAUCAAAAGACUUUUUCUGUAGACGUUUGAUUUAAACUUUACCAUUAACAGGAAAUGAGUAUUAUUGAACUCUAAAAGAGAGCAAUUGGUACACUUCAUGAUUUAGACUUUCUGACAAAAAAAAAAAAAAAAAAAAAAGCUGGAAGGUGAGUUUCUGAAUACCCUUUGGCCAUUAACAGACAGUGGGUCUUUUGGACCACAGUGAAAUUAGUUUGAAAUAACCCCCAAAGCAACGCACAGGUUUCACAACUCUUUGUGAGUCUGUUCCCACUGGGCAGUUCUUUUCAUCCUUGCAGCCUCCGCUGUAGGGAAGCCAGCAAGGCACAGCUCUAAUCAGUCCUUUUUUUCUGAGAGAAGUCAUAUAUGCUUGUGUGUCUAUACAUACCUCUCCUCUAUGCCCAUCUAUACUUCAUUUUUAAUUCAUCCAAGAGAAUUUGUGCAGAAGACCAGUAUGUGCUGAAGAUUUCAGAGCACAGCAUGUCUAUCAGACUUGUUUGAACCACUUGGAGAUUUGAGCCAGCCUAGAAUUGCAUUGCUCUAACAGUUAAAUGUUUUUGGAGUUUUUGACUUGCUCUCCCUAGCCUUGAAUUAGCUUCUACUUUUGUGCCGUUUUUUAUAUAUUACACCGUAGAACUGUAGUUUACAUUACUGUACUUUGUAGCAGUCAGCUAAAACUGGUUGAGUCUGGGGAUUUGCAAGGAUCCAGUGGUUAACACAACCACUUGCAAAUAUGCUUUUAUAGCACAGUCCAUAGUCUUAAGCCAUGACUAUGGCUCUUGAAGUUCACAACGCUCUUUGCUUGUGUGGCAUUAAUUUAAUUCUGAAUUACUGUGUCAUGAUAUCACAAUUCUGAGCCGAACUGGGAAACGUAACUUGAAGAGAACAUAUAAAUAUUUAUUUAAUAACAAGACUUAAUGUCUGUGGUUUAAGACAAUGACGCUUACAGGCAGAUUUCACUCUACAGAAUGGUGUAGGCCUUAAAUGAAGCUGUUUUCAAAAAUGAAAAAAACUCUGUAUUGAUGUCAUUAUCUGAAUAGUUUUAAUUUUAUAAAAGAGGAAAGAGUUUUACCAUUCCAUAAGACCUCAUUUCACAAAGGAUUUCAAACAUGAGAUAGGAGAAAUUUUAAGUGCUGGUGUCAGACAUAGAAGUAUUCCUUUGAACCUUGUAACCUAAGAAGCAAAGAAUAAGAAACUGCUUAAUACUGAAAAGAAAACUAUUUUUAAUGAAAAAUGGAAAAUAAAAAUACUGCUUUCUUAUUUUACUGGAAAUGGAAGGCCUUCAUUUCUGUGACACUUCAAUCCAAAGGUACAUACAUAACUUAUCUGUACAAGGAAGCUUCUUCCUAAUUUCAAGGAUAUUUAUUGUUUUUACCUGGAAUUGAUUGAUGUUCUACUUUCCGAAGUACCUCUUGAAGUUCAGCCAAGGCAAGUUUGUUGUUAUCCUGGCAGUAUGUACUGCAGUAUUUGUAUUAAUACUGGUUAGGAAAAGUUACCUUCCUUUAUAUUCUUGUAUGUAUUGCUCUUAACAUUAUCCACUGUCAUUUUUAUAUUAAGUCUUUGACGUUGUUCAUGUUGAUUUUCAAUAAGAAUUUUAGAAUGCCUUAAGCAUGAUCUAGCUACAUCUGAGUGAACACCAUAUCAUUUUCACAAAAAUGAUAAACUAACAACUGAAAUUGGUAGCCAGGGAACAGCUGAUCUGUGCUGUAAAACUAAUACACCUUCAGCACAGUUUUGGGAAACGUUUUGAAGCAAGGUCUGUACUGCUGUACAGUGUGUAGACUGUUUGGAGUGUGACUCAUGUCUAAUUCACAUUUUUCGUAAUAAAAAAACAUGCCACUUUGAAUGCAGUGAAUGGAUGAAUCAGCCUCGAUGGUAAAUUAUAUUUUUAAUCAGUGUUUAUAUGACCUAGCAUUCUGAAUAUUGCUGCAAACCCAAAUAUAUUACUGAUAAUACUUGUUUUCCUGAUCAUAAAAAUUCUGACUUCCAUAAUUUUCUGUAGAAGGUUGACUUAGUUUGAGGAUCAUAGAAAGCAAAGACGCAUUCAUGAGAUAAAUGUCCGCAUUGUGGAGAUCAAUAAUAAUGAGAAAUGAGAAAUGACAACUGAAUGCAACUGUUUUUUGUGGUUUGUUGGUUUUUUUCCUCUUACAUUAACAUACUAAAUCAGCUGUCUAGUGAUAUGUGUUUGUAAAUUGUUCUUCAUGAAGGUGACCGUAGCUUAUAAAUUUCAAUUCCUUUUAGUCUUAUAUUAUUUGUACUGAAUACACAAUGCUUUAUGUUAGCUAGGCAG
This 7353-nucleotide long non-coding RNA is filed under the name Gallus gallus (chicken). Lineage: Eukaryota; Metazoa; Chordata; Aves; Galliformes; Phasianidae. The record is from RNAcentral.